Molecule: ribosomal RNA, 161 nt
Filed under: uncultured bacterium
Lineage: Bacteria
Description: partial 16S ribosomal RNA
Rfam family: Bacterial small subunit ribosomal RNA
Source: RNAcentral
CGUGCGAGCCUGAUCCAGCCAUGCCGCGUGUGUGAAGAAGGUCUUCGGAUUGUAAAGCACUUUAAGUUGGGAGGAAGGGCAGUAAGUUAAUACCUUGCUGUUUUGACGUUACCAACAGAAUAAGCACCGGCUAACUUCGUGCCAGCAGCCGCGGUAAUUGA